AGCAGCCGCGGUAAUUCCAGCUCCAAUAGCGUAUAUUAAAGUUGUUGCAGUUAAAAAGCUCGUAGUUGAAUUUCGAGACCGGUUUACUGGUCGUGCUUUUGUACGUACUGGUAUUAUUGGUUUCUCCUUUCUGACGAAUCUUAAUGCCAUUAAUUUGGUGUUUUGGGGAAUCAGGACUGUUACUUUGAAAAAAUUAGAGUGUUUAAAGCAGGCUCACGCUUGAAUACAUUAGCAUGGAAUAACGGAAUAGGACGUUUGAUUCUAUUUUGUUGGUUUCUAGGAUCGACGUAAUGAUUAAUAGGGAUAGUUGGGGGCAUUAGUAUUCAAUUGUCAGAGGUGAAAUUCUUGGAUUUAUUGAAGACUAACUACUGCGAAAGCAUUUGCCAAGGAUGUUUUCAUUAAUCAAGAACGAAAG
RNAcentral lists this ribosomal RNA (415 nucleotides) under uncultured Glomeromycotina. Its description in RNAcentral is "SSU rRNA". It matches the Rfam family "Eukaryotic small subunit ribosomal RNA", at positions 569 to 989 of the family's 1831-position model. Lineage: Eukaryota; Fungi; Glomeromycota. The record is from RNAcentral.